GUAGGGAAUAUUGGGCAAUGGAGGCAACUCUGACCCAGCCAUGCCGCGUGCAGGAUGACGGCCCUCUGGGUUGUAAACUGCUUUUAUACGGGAAGAAAAAAUACUACGUGUAGUAUACUGACGGUACCGUAAGAAUAAGGAUCGGCUAACUCCGUGCCAGCAGUCGCGGUAAUACGGAGGAUCCAAGCGUUGUCCGGAUUUAUUGGGUUUAAAGGGUGCGUAGGCGGAUCUCUAAGUCAGUGGUGAAAGCCUGCAGCUUAACUGUAGAAUUGCCAUUGAAACUGAAGAUCUUGAAUGUGGUUAAAGUAGGCGGAAUGUAUCAUGUAGCGGUGAAAUGCUUAGAUAUGAUACAGAACACCGAUAGCGAAGGCAGCUUGCUGAACCAUUAUUGACGCUGAGGCACGAAAGCGUGGGGAGCGAACAGGAUUAGAAACCCUAGUAGUCC
Molecule: ribosomal RNA, 445 nt
Filed under: uncultured bacterium
Lineage: Bacteria
Description: partial 16S ribosomal RNA
Rfam family: Bacterial small subunit ribosomal RNA
Source: RNAcentral